This is a long non-coding RNA of Homo sapiens (human), 582 nucleotides long. RefSeq lists it as uncharacterized. The record is from RefSeq and is a predicted model, not a curated record. The transcript has 2 exons. Lineage: Eukaryota; Metazoa; Chordata; Mammalia; Primates; Hominidae.
GGCAACAGAGUGAGAGUCUGUCUCAAAAAAAAAAAAGAAAGAAAGAAACCCAAAAAACAGAGAACAAAAACAACAUUCUCUGUCUCUGAGUUUGAAACCAGACCAGGACUGGGCCAUCAUCUGGGUUCAAAAGGAAGCCGGGAGGAUGCAGCUCCAGUCCAAAUGCUAGGGACAUUCGUGUGCAUUAUUUCAUCCCCCGUGAGGUGGAGACCAACAUUCCCAUUUUGCAGAAGAGGAAAUUGAAGGAACUCCAAGAAGUGAAAGCACUCGCCCAUGGUCACAUGGCUGGCUACAAAAAUCUGACUCAUUCUUCAAGACCUAGUUCCAGAGCCACCUCCUCCAGGAAAACUUCCAAGUCCUCCAGGCAAAAGUUCUAUUUUUUUAUAGCCUCCCCCAUUUCAUAGGACUGUAAGGAUUUGUUUAUUACCUCCAUCUGUUCUAUGGAACUGUAAACUCCUCAUGUGCAUACACUCAUGUGCACAUGAAAUUGCACAUGAAAUUGCAUAGGAGGGGGAUAUAGUAUUCAGGGUUUCCCAACUACUUUGACCAGGCAACACUACAUAGUAAAGCAUAUCUGUGGAA